Molecule: long non-coding RNA, 1147 nt
Organism: Polyodon spathula (Mississippi paddlefish)
Lineage: Eukaryota; Metazoa; Chordata; Actinopteri; Acipenseriformes; Polyodontidae
Exons: 3
Source: RefSeq, a predicted model, not a curated record
AUGUCUAGAACUGAUAAUAAUCACACCAUUGUUGUUAUUGUUUUAAAUCCAGACACUAGCUGGUGAUACAGGAGAAUGUCUACAAAGCGAACUGUGCCCAGCAGCCUCAGCUGUAUCGAUUACUGUGUCAAUAUCUGUGCCUAAAUGCUCCAGAAAGGCAGGAGCUGCAAAUUCCACUUCAACUUCCCAGGUCCAGCACUGUGAAAGACUGCAGAAUGUGGGGUACCAACAUCCAGGGCAGAAACUGUAGCGAUGAGGCUUCCCUCAUGAUCACUCGUUACUUGAACAAUGAAAGGACAUUCUGCCUGGUGCAGUUUGAGUCUGGAAUGGAAAUUAGGCGAUUACAAGAUACAGAAAAGAACUUCAGGAAAAAAAGAUAAGACAUCAGGCCUACUAUGCUGCUCUCGGAAUCUUUCUAGAAGAUCUGAACACCAGGUUGGAGAGUAAGGCUACAAUAAGGAACCGCAGGGCUGGUAUUAUCGACUGUGUUGUCUUUGCAGAAGUAAAGUACAAGUUACAGUAAGUCCUCAAGGCCCAUUCCAGUGCAUGUAUAAUAGCUUAAAUAAUUAACCAUUCUACUAUUUACUUGUCUCAGCCUUUCAAAAAUGUGUUGUAAUCCAUGUUGCUGACUAUGUGUCAAAUGUCAAGUUUAUCCUUGUCCCUGUGGAAGCAGUGAAUAAACAAAGCCUGUGAAAAUAACGUUUACAGUAAGAAGCACAGGCAGAAAACCUGUACCAUUUAAAGACUGCAGUGUCAAGGAUGUCUAAAUAGUGCAACCAGCUAGCAUAAAACAUACAAACCCAUUAAUGAAAUAAUAUAUAUAUAAUUUUCUUUUUAACACGGGUUGAAUAACAGUGCUUUCUAGUACAUGUAUUUAUUUAUUUAUUUAUUUAUGUAUUUAUCUAUUUAUGAUCUGACCAGUAGUCUGAAAAUAAAUAACUGGGUGAUUUUUGCUGUUGUUUGCUUCAAACCAGGGUUAGACUCUUGCAGUGGUCUAGCCUCCUGCGAUGUUGCCUGUUUUGUAUGUUUUUGUGCAGUUUGGAAAAAUCCCCCCACCUAUUGCUUCAUGUCAAUUGUUAUUGCACAGGCCCUUAAGCAAACAAUGUUGACUGUUCAGUCUGUUUACAUUUCCUCUAUUGUAAUUCCA